AGACACAAUGAUACUGCUCCACCAGCCAUUGGAGGACCACUGGCGCUGUCCAUGGUGUUCCCAGGUGGUGCUGGGACUCAGAUGUGGAACCUGUUAUGUACCAAGAAGAUGUACUUUCCCUCUGUUUAUCAGCAGAAGGAGUAAGACUGUUUCAACCCAGGAUUUACUAAACUCUCUUGUCCUUGCGGUUCCCUCCUUUACAGUUUUUCCUCAUGGAACAUCAGGAGGAAUAAAAUAUCCUGCAGACUAUGCAAGAAACACAUCCCAAGUGUUUCUUUUGACAUCUCAGUGGAUUUUGAAGCUAGUGACUCACUUGGCAAAUGCUUGUGACUUGGUGAUAUUCAAGGAUACAGUUAACGCUACUACAAAGAAUCAAGUCAUCCUUGUCAAGGUUCUUUUUAAAAACAGCUGUUUGAGGGUUUUUCUUUUCUUUUUCUUAAAUCAGUGAUGUUCUAAUUGCUCACAUCAGAGAAAGAAGUAAACAUGGAGAAUUUCAGACUUCUGUUAGCUGACGUAUCUGUCAGUUAGCUAUUACUUCUUGAUUUAUUUACCUGUGUACCACCUGUCAUAUUAUUAUGAAUGAUUUCAAACAGGAGGAAGAAAGUCUAACAUUCACACAUAGUCUCGCUUCCGAUUAAAAUAUCUACCAGAACGUUAGCAUAAA
Erinaceus europaeus (western European hedgehog) is the source of this 664-nucleotide long non-coding RNA. RefSeq lists it as uncharacterized. The transcript is spliced from 2 exons. Lineage: Eukaryota; Metazoa; Chordata; Mammalia; Eulipotyphla; Erinaceidae. The record is from RefSeq and is a predicted model, not a curated record.